This 118-nucleotide non-coding RNA is filed under the name Desulforamulus putei. RNAcentral's name for it is "Desulfotomaculum putei MoCo sequence". It matches the Rfam family "Molybdenum/Tungsten riboswitch aptamer (Moco RNA motif)". Lineage: Bacteria; Bacillati; Bacillota; Clostridia; Eubacteriales; Peptococcaceae. The record is from RNAcentral.
CUUUAUUUUUACCUUCGAGCCCUGGAACCUGUGACAUCAUGGUAUGGUUCCCCGGCCGACAGGGUUUACCUGGAAGCGGGUAAGCCUCCCCCUUUGGAAGGGAUCGAUCAUAGUGAAG